AAGUCGUAACAAGGUCUCCGUAGGUGAACCUGCGGAGGGAUCAUUACUGAGUGAAGGGCCUCGGGCCCGACCUCCAACCCCCUGUGAUUACCACCCCGUUGCUUCGGGGGCGCCCCCGCCGCCCGCGGCGCCGGGCCCCCCGGAGGUGACCACCAACUCUGUUGUCCUCUGCGUCGGAGUAUUGAUUUUCAAUCAGUUAAAACUUUCAACAACGGAUCUCUUGGUUCUG
RNAcentral lists this unclassified non-coding RNA (229 nucleotides) under Zygophiala sp. RNAcentral's name for it is "partial contains small subunit ribosomal RNA, internal transcribed spacer 1, and 5.8S ribosomal RNA". The stretch from base 1 to 46 matches the Rfam family "Eukaryotic small subunit ribosomal RNA", at positions 1786 to 1831 of the family's 1831-position model. RNAcentral also lists the same sequence under 1 other name. Lineage: Eukaryota; Fungi; Ascomycota; Dothideomycetes; Mycosphaerellales; Schizothyriaceae. The record is from RNAcentral.